This is a non-coding RNA of Python bivittatus (Burmese python), 1678 nucleotides long. The record is from RefSeq and is a predicted model, not a curated record. NCBI's taxonomy places the organism in Eukaryota, Metazoa, Chordata, Lepidosauria, Squamata, Pythonidae.
ACCCUGUGGAACCCCGCACAGCGGGGGCCGACAUCAACUGGUACCAACCCGCAGAAAGGAAGAGAACCGGCGCAAUACUGUGCCACCCACUCCCACCCUGUGGAGCUGAUACAAAAGGAUACCACGGUCAAGAAGAGCCAGUGCUGGCCACGGGGUUACCAACUAAUUGGGGAAUGUUUUUACCUGGUACAAGAGAGCGCCAAAUUUCGCACAGGGACAGAUACAUAACCCCGUCCUGCUCCCGCCAGAGAUCAUCCAAGAGUAGGACUAAUGCCAUUGUGGAAUCAAAACGCGGGACCCAAAGGCAAAACCACCAGGGCUUCCCUACAGUGCUUAUUAGGCAACACAUACUGGAGGGGGACCCCACCGAAGGUUAGUGGGAGACGCUCCCCUGCAGGCAGAAUGGACGCCCUGACGUUUAUACAGUUCUACAAGAAGGGGAAGGGAAAAGAGCACAUACGUAUACGUAUUCAUAUGACGAUGCAGGAAAACAACAGCCUGACUGAGAUGAAGAAACAGACCAGUUCAGGGGGCCUCAGGCCAGGAAGGGCACAUCCUCCUUCAAGACAGAUGCCUCGCCUCGGCUGGCUGUCCUGGGGUGUCUGAGGACGUUAGACACUGGACAAAAAUCGUCCAGCAUGGUUGGAUCCAGAGACAGCUUCUUGAGGAGGGGGUGAACCACUGCCUGCUUAAGAAGCGAUGGGAUAACCCCUUCUCUCAAAGAAUAAUUCACCAUCACUUGGAUCUGGCACUGACACCCUCCAGGGAGCCUUAAUGAGCCAGGAGGGGCAGGGGUCUAAGGAGCAGAUGGCUGAGCUCACAGUCCCCAGGACCCUCUCCACUUCCUCAGGUCCAGGAGGAUCAAACUGUCCCCAGAUAACGGCAAGACUGUGCUCUGGGCACCUCUACUGGACCUGUGUUAACCCUGGAGUCCAGCUUGCAACAAAUCUGAGCGAUUUUGUCCAUCAAGUGUUAUGCAGAUUCCUCUGAAUGGUCUUGCAAGUAAACCUCCGAGCCCUGCUUUCCCAGAUGGGCUCGUGUCGCCUUAAACAAGGCUGUCGGGCGGCUAUCCGCAGACGCAAUAAGGGCAGAGAAGCGUGGAAGCCACAGGAUGGGCCUUAACAGCAGCUCUCCCUCUAGACAUCUCUUCUCUCGUUCCAACUCCCUAAGCUUUUCCAUAAACCACAGAGAGCGACAGGAUCCACGAGAGGGGAGAGGUCACGUGGGCACGAUCCGAUCUGAAGCCUCGGCUGCCCUUUCAUUCCAGCUGUGGGCCUGACGGGCUGUUUGUGUACUGGGAGCUGUGUUUGUGGGGCCCCGACGGAUUAGGAAUUUCCUGUGUUGCUCCUGCUUGUUCUGCUUUGAUUAGAUAGGGGACUAGUUAAACGCUGAACUAUAGUACUCUUUGCCUCAUUAUAAUAGUAAAAAACACACCCCUAGGAGUAAACAUGAGAUGCUAAUGAGCCCCCCUCAUGGCUUAUUAUGGGGUACACAGUUGUAGUACACAUGUGCAUGAUGUAAUUCACCCACGUAUUUGUUUUAGCCAGCAAGAAUUGUGAUGAAUGUUACCUGCUUAGUGAAAUGUAUAAAAACCUUUGGACAACGCCCCUUUGCGCACUCGAUUUGGAUUUUGGUCCCAAGUGCACCUCUUUGCUUCUGUACAGAAAUAAAGUGUGGA